AACGCACAUUGCGCCCUUCGGUAUUCCGUUGGGCAUGCCUGUUCGAGCGUCAUUUGACCCUUCAAGCUCUGCUUGGUGUUGGGCGUUUGUUCCGCCUCCGCGCGUGGACUCGCCUCAAAUUCAUUGGCAGCCGGCAAGUUGGCUUCGUGCGCAGCACAUUGCGUCACGGCUCCAGUCUGCCUCCGUCCAGUAAGGCUCCUCAUCACUUUGACCUCGGAUCAGGUAGGGAUACCCGCUGAACUUAA
This 245-nucleotide unclassified non-coding RNA is filed under the name uncultured fungus. RNAcentral describes it as "sequence contains ITS2". Lineage: Eukaryota; Fungi. RNAcentral also lists the same sequence under 1 other name. The record is from RNAcentral.